ACGGGUGGUAUUAUCGGACGUGCCCAGUAUGGGGAAUACUUGCCGAAAGGUAGCUAAUACCGCAUACGACCUACGGGUGAAAGCAGGGGAUCUUAGGACCUUGCGUAUUGGAGCGGCCGAUAUCUGAUUAGCUUGUCUGUGGGGUAAAAGCCUACCAAGGCAACGAUCAGUAGCUGGUCUGAGAGGACGAUCAGCCACACUGGAACUGAGACACGGUCCAGACUCCUACGGGAGGCAGCAGUGGGGAAUUUUGGACAAUGGGGGAAACCCUGAUCCAGCCAUCCCGCGUGAGUGAAGAAGCCUUCGGGUUGU
RNAcentral lists this ribosomal RNA (312 nucleotides) under uncultured beta proteobacterium. Its description in RNAcentral is "bacterial SSU rRNA". It matches the Rfam family "Bacterial small subunit ribosomal RNA", at positions 102 to 426 of the family's 1533-position model. The record is from RNAcentral. Lineage: Bacteria; Pseudomonadati; Pseudomonadota; Betaproteobacteria.